RNAcentral lists this ribosomal RNA (254 nucleotides) under uncultured bacterium. RNAcentral describes it as "partial 16S ribosomal RNA". It matches the Rfam family "Bacterial small subunit ribosomal RNA", at positions 524 to 776 of the family's 1533-position model. The record is from RNAcentral.
UACGAAGGGGGCUAGCGUUGCUCGGAAUUACUGGGCGUAAAGGGCGCGUAGGCGGAUAGUUUAGUCAGAGGUAAAAGCCCCAGGGCUCAACCUUGGAACUGCCUUUGAUACUGGCUAUCUUGAGUUCGGGAGAGGUGAGUGGAAUGCCGAGUGUAGAGGUGAAAUUCGUAGAUAUUCGGCGGAACACCAGUGGCGAAGGCGACUCACUGGCCCGAUACUGACGCUGAGGCGCGAAAGCGUGGGGAGCAAACAGG